UUCAGGCCCCAUGGGCCUCUUGUUCUUUCCCCUCCUCUUGGGACUUAGUUCUUUUGUUAUAUCUUUGAAACCAUUGAGAUCCCCACCCUAUAACCAUAUAUAGCAUUGUUGGGCAUGAAGAGAUAAACAAAUUCAUGUUGUAAAAAUUGGCCCUAGGGUCUUUCCCAACCCCUAGGGACUUGGAUUCUCUGUUAUAUCUUUGAAACCAUUGACAUCCUCACCCCAUAAACAUAUACUGCAUUUUAAGACAUCAACAAAUAGAGCUGUUAACAAAUUGAACAUGAACAUUAUUUUGAAGAUCAAAUCAACCAGGUGAGCGAUACAGGCCCUCUGGGCCUCUUGUUUAAUUUCAGUGGCAUGUUUUAAUAAACAGGUAUUAAACUCAAUUAUUUGUACUGAUAAAGCUCAUUUUUGAAUGAUUUCAUAAAAUAUAACAUACAAAUGUAACUGCAACUGUUAACAUAUGGAAUACUAUACUAUAUUUAAGCAUGAAUUAUGUUUAAAACUCUAGUUACUGUUAAAGUAUUGCAUCUGCUCUAUUGAUAAAGGAAAUUGCUGAGGUGCCACAGGACCCACCAAAGGAGAGGGAAGAAGACGGCGGAGAGGAUAAAAAUAGGGAGGCAGCACCUAAUGAUACGACAGAUGAUUCAGAGGGCCAGUGGGAAAGCGCAUUAGAGGAAGAAAAGGAAGAGGAUUCGGAAAUGGCCGAGGAGCCACAGGACCCUCAAGAGGAGAAGGAAGAAGACGGACAGGAUGAUGCUCCUGAAUUUUUAGCACAGGUAUCAAAAUAUAGAUGAUAAAUCAGUGGAGGAUGAGGAGAUGGAGAAUGAUCUACAUGGGAUAGACAAUGUGGAGAUGAGUGAACAGGCCCAGAGUCGGGCCGGGGAGAGUCAGAACGACCAGGAACAGAUAAAAACAACAAACAACCAGUGAAAACAACAACCCACAGGCAGCACCAAAAGAUCAUACGUAUGAUAUCGAUUCAGCUGAUGAAUGGGAGAGUGCUAUUGAGGCAAACACAGAAAAGGAUGAGUCGGUCUACCACGUCUGCAAUUAAUGGAGUCCAUGGCAAGGGCAACUUCAUUAAAAUGUCUCCAUUCUAAAUUUAAAGAAUUGUGUCUUGUCUGUCUUGUCUUUUGUUGUUAUUAAAUCGUUUCAAAUAUAUAAAUUUAUUUUU
Pecten maximus is the source of this 1177-nucleotide RNA transcript. It is a transcript of the gene named glutamic acid-rich protein-like, with no coding region annotated. The transcript is spliced from 8 exons. NCBI's taxonomy places the organism in Eukaryota, Metazoa, Mollusca, Bivalvia, Pectinida, Pectinidae. The record is from RefSeq and is a predicted model, not a curated record.